AUACGUAGGUGGCAAGCGUUGUCCGGAUUUAUUGGGCGCAAAGCGAGCGCAGGCGGUCUUUUAAGUCUGAUGUGAAAGCCCCCGGCUUAACCGGGGAGGGUCAUUGGAAACUGGGAGACUUGAGUGCAGAAGAGGAGAGUGGAAUUCCAUGUGUAGCGGUGAAAUGCGUAGAUAUAUGGAGGAACACCAGUGGCGAAGGCGGCUCUCUGGUCUGUAACUGACGCUGAGGCUCGAAAGCGUGGGGAGC
This 247-nucleotide ribosomal RNA is filed under the name uncultured bacterium. RNAcentral's name for it is "partial 16S ribosomal RNA". It matches the Rfam family "Bacterial small subunit ribosomal RNA", at positions 523 to 769 of the family's 1533-position model. The record is from RNAcentral.